RNAcentral lists this unclassified non-coding RNA (215 nucleotides) under uncultured Sordariomycetes. RNAcentral describes it as "sequence contains ITS2". The record is from RNAcentral. Lineage: Eukaryota; Fungi; Ascomycota; Sordariomycetes.
CAACCCUCAGGUUCCCCCCUAUCGCUCCGGCGGAGGGGGGAAGCCUGGUGUUGGGGGUCCCUCUCCACCCCGCGGCGCUGACCGCGGGGCCCCCGAAAGCCAUCGGCGGUGCCUGCCAGCACUCCGGGCGCAGUAGAAUACACCUCGCCCUGGACGUCUGGCGGCGCGCCGGCCGCUAAAAAGGCCGAGCCACAGCGGCUCGGCACUAUCACAAA